Molecule: transfer RNA, 73 nt
Filed under: Bos taurus (domestic cattle)
Lineage: Eukaryota; Metazoa; Chordata; Mammalia; Artiodactyla; Bovidae
Also listed under: 2 other names
Rfam family: tRNA
About the family: Transfer RNA (tRNA) molecules are approximately 80 nucleotides in length. Their secondary structure includes four short double-helical elements and three loops (D, anti-codon, and T loops). Further hydrogen bonds mediate the characteristic L-shaped molecular structure. tRNAs have two regions of fundamental functional importance: the anti-codon, which is responsible for specific mRNA codon recognition, and the 3' end, to which the tRNAs corresponding amino acid is attached (by aminoacyl-tRNA synthetases). tRNAs cope with the degeneracy of the genetic code in two manners: having more than one tRNA (with a specific anti-codon) for a particular amino acid; and 'wobble' base-pairing, i.e. permitting non-standard base-pairing at the 3rd anti-codon position.
Source: Rfam by way of RNAcentral
UCCCUGGUGGUCCAGCAGUUAAGACUCUGCACUUCCAGUGCGGAAGCCACAGGUUCGAUUCCUGGUUAGGGAA